RNAcentral lists this ribosomal RNA (380 nucleotides) under uncultured bacterium. RNAcentral describes it as "bacterial SSU rRNA". It matches the Rfam family "Bacterial small subunit ribosomal RNA", at positions 362 to 758 of the family's 1533-position model. The record is from RNAcentral.
UAUUGGACAAUGGGCGAAAGCCUGAUCCAGCAAUGCCGCGUGAGUGAAGAAGGCCUUCCCCCUUGUAAAGCUCUUUUACCCGGGAAGAUAAUGACCGUACCGGGAGAAUAAGCCCCGGCUAACUCCGUGCCAGCAGCCGCGGUAAUACGGAGGGGGCUAGCGUUGUUCGGAAUCACUGGGCGUAAAGCGUACGUAGGCGGCCAUUCAAGUCAGAGGUGAAAGCCCAGGGCUCAACCUUGGAACUGCCCUUGAAACUAGGUGGCUGGAACACGGGAGAGGUGAGUGGAAUUCCGAGUGUAGAGGUGAAAUUCGUAGAUAUUCGGAAGAACCCCAGUGGCGAAGGCGGCUCACUGGACCGUUGUUGACGCUGAGGUACGAAA